This 464-nucleotide long non-coding RNA is filed under the name Pan troglodytes (chimpanzee). RNAcentral's name for it is "long non-coding RNA NONPTRT016241". The record is from RNAcentral. Lineage: Eukaryota; Metazoa; Chordata; Mammalia; Primates; Hominidae.
CUCUGAUGCAGCCCCUUCUGUGCCAGGUGCGGUGGUUCCUCAGCCUGGAGCCGGAGUGAAGCCUGGGAAAGUGCCGGGUGUGGGGCUGCCAGGUGUAUACCCAGGUGGCGUGCUCCCAGGUGUAGGUGGAGCUUUUGCUGGAAUCCCAGGAGUUGGACCCUUUGGGGGACCGCAACCUGGAGUCCCACUGGGGUAUCCCAUCAAGGCCCCCAAGCUGCCUGGUGGCUAUGGACUGCCCUACACCACAGGGAAACUGCCCUAUGGCUAUGGGCCCGGAGGAGUGGCUGGUGUAGCGGGCAAAGCUGGUUACCCAACAGGGACAGGGGUUGGCCCCCAGGCAGCAGCAGCAGCGGCAGCUAAAGCAGCAGCAAAGUUAGGUGCUGGAGCAGCCGGAGUCCUCCCUGGUGUUGGAGGGGCCGGUGUUCCUGGCGUGCCUGGGGCAAUUCCUGGAAUCGGAGGCAUCG